ACCGCUGAUGAACUGCUGUGUGUGUUUACCUUUAGCUAGCGGGACGCUACGGAGCCCAGCUAUCCGCCCUCUGAAGCUUUUAGAGCCGACAGGGGGAGGACAAUGUCCCGCUAACGCUGUGUGUGUGUGUUUCACAUUAGCGGGACGCUACGGAGUUCCGGUAUCCGCCCUCUGAAGCUUUUAGGGCCGACAGGGGGAGGAGAAUACAACGCUGUGUGUAUUUAUCGCUAAGCUAACGGCUAAGCUAGCUGGACGCUACGUUUCAGGUAUCCGUCCUCUGAGGCAUUUAUUGCGGACAGGUUGAGGAGGAUGUCCCGCUCCUGUGUGUGUGUAACGGAGCUCAGAUGAGAGGGCUCUGAUUACAGUUUUAAUCCUCCGUCAAACUGCAUGUUUUCUGCUAUAUUUGAUGAGAGAUAAAAUGAUUUUCUGCCACAGGAGUUUGACAGAGAAUAACUGAAAAAGUACACAGUAAAAUAACCCAUGGCCACUGUCGAUGCAAGAAGAAGGUCGGCCGGUGGUCACAGGGGCAUCAUCAGGCAGCUGGCCCCCACCUACAGCUGCCAGUUCCCAGCUGUACUUAUGUACAAGCUGUCCUGUGACGGGAGCAGCACUCAGAGCCUGGAUGGAGAGCGAUCUAGUACCUCGGUGUGUGCGAGCAGUUCCUGGCCUUGUGCAGCGUGAUGAUGGGGCAGAUUCGGUGUCAAAAUUUCAUUUUUUUUCUUACAGCCGCCGUGUGUUUAUGCACUCACAUUUUCAAUCUCUCUCUCUCUCUCUCCAGCCGUCAGCUGGUUAAGGUCCUCAUCAGCGUCCUCACCUUCUCAGAGGGCCUGUCCAGUAUGGCGGCCGGACUGAUGAGGCAGUACCGACUCGCCGAGGUACCACCCCCCAGCUGAUCUACAUGGAUCGGGACUGCUGCAACAGAGACGGCGUGUCAAAGACAGCUGCCUUGUUUCAGGAGUGGGUGGACCCCGGAGAUGCCCGCCGUCUCAUUGAAGCCAAGCGGUCCCAGUCGUUCCUUCGCGGUCCAAGACAGCGAAGGGGAUGAACACCUUCUGUCCUGGGAAGGAGAGUCUCCAACGGUUCUCUCGGCGCCAGAAAGAGAGGGGGGUGUCUGUGCUGCUGCAGGGAACUGGCGUCGUCCCUGCAGUAGCUGUGGCUGUCCAGCCUCUCCCGCCAGCGAAAGGGCUGUCCUUUGUACAGGUGGGACAAGGACAGCCCUUCCAUUACAACAUCCCGGAGGUGCCGGGACCUUCAGGGGGG
Long non-coding RNA from Gymnodraco acuticeps, 1260 nucleotides. RefSeq lists it as uncharacterized. The transcript has 4 exons. The record is from RefSeq and is a predicted model, not a curated record. NCBI's taxonomy places the organism in Eukaryota, Metazoa, Chordata, Actinopteri, Perciformes, Bathydraconidae.